GUGGUAGCCACCUAAGGUGGGCUGGAGCCACUGCCCAACCCUAUCCACUUCUACCCUAGGCCUCAGUUUCCCCUUUCCUCACACAGGGCACUAAUAACAAGGAGCUAGCCUUGCCCACUCCCACCCUUCUGCUCCUUCCCACCCCCUAAGGUUCUGGUUCCAUCUUUCCUCUGUUCACAAACUACCUCUGGAUAGUUGUGUUGGUUUUGUUCAAUGUUUCCAUUCUUAGACAUCCGUCAUUGCUGCUGUGACCAGCGCCAAAUGUUCAUCCUCAUUGCCUCCUCCUGUUCUGCCCACAUCCCCCUCCUCCAAGAUGCUCUUAGGGGAAGGGGCCUGGGGCAGAGCAGGCUGGGUUACCGACCACCCCAGUCCCAGGGAAGGUAGGGGCCUUGCCCCUAGGAUGCUGCAGCAGAGUGAGGACUGUCUCUUAAACA
This is a long non-coding RNA of Prionailurus viverrinus (fishing cat), 434 nucleotides long. RefSeq lists it as uncharacterized. The record is from RefSeq and is a predicted model, not a curated record. The transcript is spliced from 3 exons. Lineage: Eukaryota; Metazoa; Chordata; Mammalia; Carnivora; Felidae.